UGCCUCGGUGCCUCCUCUCCUCUGCGCGACCCUGAAAUGCUGCAUUCAGUUCAGAGGUCCUCCUUGAGCUCUUCUGGGGGAAGGCCAGUCGUUCCUUCCCUCUUCCUCUCUAACCUCCUGUGUUUAAUCCUUUUUCUCGCUCCCACCCAAUUUCAGUGUUCCCCAAGAUCCACUUCUCAUGCAAGGAGGCCUUGUUUUUUCAGGAAUGAAUCCUAUGAGAAGGU
RNAcentral lists this long non-coding RNA (224 nucleotides) under Homo sapiens (human). RNAcentral's name for it is "HSALNT0358130". The record is from RNAcentral. Lineage: Eukaryota; Metazoa; Chordata; Mammalia; Primates; Hominidae.